Acanthosepion pharaonis is the source of this 112-nucleotide non-coding RNA. NCBI's taxonomy places the organism in Eukaryota, Metazoa, Mollusca, Cephalopoda, Sepiida, Sepiidae. The record is from the annotation of a GenBank genome assembly.
UAUGGCCACAUCAUGUGGAAACACCAGUUCCCAUAUAAUCACUAAAGUUAAGCAUUAUGGAACCUGGUAAGUACCCAGAUGAGUGACCAUUUGGGAAAACUAUGUGCUGUAA